Molecule: non-coding RNA, 804 nt
Organism: Chiloscyllium plagiosum (whitespotted bambooshark)
Lineage: Eukaryota; Metazoa; Chordata; Chondrichthyes; Orectolobiformes; Hemiscylliidae
Source: RefSeq, a predicted model, not a curated record
UGAAUGCGCACAAUAUUGUUAGGGAGGGAAGUCAAGCAUUGGGGCCCAAUGACAUUGAAGAAGUGAGACUUUUCCAAAUCAGGCUGAUUGGAUAAGAAGAUUUAAAAAAGCAUGGACAGGAUCUACUCUUCAGCAAGCUGUUAGUGUUGGACAAAAUGGAUUCACACUCUCCAACCUGGUGAAGAAAUGUUUAUUCCAUUUUUUUUUAUUCCCUCAUGGUGAGACAGAGGUAGGAUUUGGAAUGAAUAAGAUGAUAGCAGAGUGAAACCCCAAUGGAGAUGAAGACAAGCCUGAAGAAACGGAACAAUUUUGAAUUUUUCUUCACAACAUUGUGCAAUCUCUAAUGGAUUCCAACUGAUGCAAGAGACAGGACUAAUGAUGGAGUCAAGGGGAAGAAAGCAAUGUUAGUGAUGAGAACAGAACACUUUCAUUUUUCCAACUCCUACUGAAUUGGAGAAAAUUCUGGCUGAAAUUAUAAGACUUAAAAUCAGACAGGGUUUUAGUCAGCAGUGAGAGAAUGCAGUUGAGUCUCAUGAGCAUACAGGUGGAAUCUAAUUGAAGCCUACAGAAGUCAUCAAGGGCAACAGGAAGAUUAUAAUCAAAGAGUUGGAAGAUUGAUCAUCGGGAAUCUAAAUCUGGAUGUUUGCUGAGUCGUAGAGACUCUGGAUUUCAUCUUAAUGAUGAGUGAGACUCACAUUUGUAAAUACAACUUCAUUUGAAUGGAUGCAAUUUUCACCAGUAGAAGAAAGGGGAUGGAUGUGACCCAUAAGGGAAAUGUGAACUCUGUGACACGUUGAUUGUAGA